GAUGAACGCUAGCGGCAGGCCUAAUACAUGCAAGUCGAGCGGCAAGUUAGGUAGUAAUACUUGACCUAGAGCGGCGCACGGGUGCGUAACGCGUAUGCAACCUACCUUUUUACUGGGGGGAUAGCCCCGGAGAAAUCCUGGAUUAAUACCCCCAUAGUACCUAAGAAUCGAUUGGUUUUUAGUUUAAAGAUUUAUCGAUGUAAGCUGGGCAUGCGUCCAAUUAGCUAGUUGGUGAGGUAAUGGCUCACCAAGGCAAUGAUUGUAGGGGAACUGAGAGGAUGAUCCGCCACACUGGGACUGAGACACGGCCCAGACUCCUACGGGAGGCAGCAGUGGGGAAUUUUGGACAAUGGGGGAAACCCUGAUCCAGCCAUGCCGCGUGAGUGAA
This 388-nucleotide ribosomal RNA is filed under the name uncultured bacterium. RNAcentral describes it as "bacterial SSU rRNA". It matches the Rfam family "Bacterial small subunit ribosomal RNA", at positions 28 to 409 of the family's 1533-position model. The record is from RNAcentral.